This 2043-nucleotide long non-coding RNA is filed under the name Sus scrofa (pig). RNAcentral describes it as "lncRNA (ENSSSCG00000043991.1)". Lineage: Eukaryota; Metazoa; Chordata; Mammalia; Artiodactyla; Suidae. The record is from RNAcentral.
UUUUUUUUUUUUUUUUUUUCAUUGUGCUCUCAAGGGACGAAAAUCCUUUUGUGGCGUGAAAGGAGAGGCGUUCCUGCCGUCCCCUCCCUCGAACUGAUUGGCUGUGUCACAAGAUGGCCAAAUCCACCCGGAUUAAUGUGCGGCCGCGGAGUGAGGCCGUCUGAGUCCGCCCCUUCGGGCGAGCGAGCGUGUCUGCCGCCCUGGGAGCAGGGGAGGGGGACCCGGAGGGCCAGGCCACCACUUUCUUCAUAUUUAUUAUUCCCGCCCCCCCCCUCCCCAGCCCCGGCCCCGCGGCGAUGUUUAUUCAUGGGCCACAUCUGCUGGCUGGCAGGCGACACGUCUCUUGUUAGAGUGCCUGGAGUCCCCAAGGAGCCAGGGGAAAUGGGGCACAUUCCUGAGGACCUGCCUUUCCUCUCUGUCGCACGGUCCUGCGGCUUUGGCAGCCCACCUGUAAUCCUAGCCCUCCGCAGAGCCCACCUUCUGCCCUUUCCACCUGGAGAUGCUGGCCUCUUUGCUCCCAGAGACCCAGGGCUGGAGGGGGCACCCUCUCCCCCUGCCCUUUGCCCUUCUGUCGUUUCUUCCAGAAUCACUCUUCUCCAGGGUCAGUUAGAUACUGAAACCUCAGGCUGGGGGAACCAGCUCAGACGGAGUCUCGCCCAUUUCCUAAAGAGAAGAACUCCUUAGUUUUUUGUCUGUUUGUUUCUCCUGUGAUUCUGUAGCUCUUUCAUGGCACUUACCAGAGUAUUCUUUCCCUCCCUGUCCAGCCCAGAAGACAAGGUCUGUCUGUGGCUCACCUUUGUCACCCCACCAGGCCCCAACUAGUGGACAAGUGUCGAUGUGUUUGUUUGUUUGUUUGUUUUUUCUGGCUGCUCCUGAGGCAUGUGGAAGUUCCCAGGCCAGGGAUCCAACCGGGUCACGCACUGCAGCGACCUGAGCCCAUGUAGACAACGCCAGAUCCUGAACCCACUGAGCCACGAGGGAACUCCCUGCAAAGCCCUUUUUUUCCCAUUUGUAAAAUGACACUGUUUGCUUCAACUUGGCUUUCUGUUUAUCUGCCUGUGUGUGGUUUCAGGGGUAUCAGGCAUUUAAAAAUAUUAAUCGCCAGCGUGAGGAGAAUGGGAAGACCUAUUCUCAGAUUUUGGGAAGUCAGGACCCUCUACUGGGCCACUCAGAGGUCACUCUGUCUGUAGGACCAGCUGCAUGGCAGUCAGGCUAAUAAUUACUUUUGCAUUGGCAGCUGGAAAUGACUGCUAUUUUCUGAUUUUUGGAAAUGGGACAGCCUCCAAGUUACAAAUAGACAAAGAGGAAAAACAGAAAAAAAUGGGAGACAUGGUAGCAUUUUAAUGGACAAGCCAAAUCAAAUCUUUCCAGGUAUUAAGUGAAAAAGUAAGAAUAGAGGAAGCUUUGGACUCAGACAAUUUUAGCAGUGCUCUCAAGAAUUCACAGUAGUUGCUGGCUGGGACUGGUUGUGAGUGGAACUGUGUCUCUGAGAUUGUGGAGAGGGGCUUUGACAAAGUGGGAGGGUCAACUUUCUCAUGAUAAGUAGGAUGUCUUUUAGGUCCAUAGUUGAGGGGCAGGAAGGCGAGGUUGUGGCAACGGGACAUGGGACCUGAAGGGAAGUGGGACAUGGAGGAAGUGGCCCGGGCUCCAAGGGCGUCUGAUCUUCCUCCUUUGAUUAAACCAAGAUCCAAGGGCUUCUAUAUAGCACACAUCCCCAUGUGUCUGCCGAGGGGGUCCUGCAGCCGUCACCUGCAGCGGGGAUGGGCGGGGAGAGAAGGUGUUAAAAAAAUGCAAGUCUGGUCCUCAGCUGAGACGCUUCAGAUUUCUCCGGGGGGGAGGGCCCUGGGAAUCUGCAUUUGGAUAAGUACCCAGAGGAUCCUUAGGCACACUGAAAAAAACCAAUCUGGGUGAGUAGAAGAGUUAAAUCUAAACCCUCUAUGGCUCCCUUAGAGCCCCUGCCUUCCUGAGAGUGGGAUGGGCUAUGAGUAAGCUGACAGUGAUUCUGAGUUAAACAGCCCCUUCGGAAUGAUUAACACUUGAAAU